Molecule: long non-coding RNA, 1635 nt
Organism: Lates calcarifer (barramundi perch)
Lineage: Eukaryota; Metazoa; Chordata; Actinopteri; Centropomidae
Exons: 2
Source: RefSeq, a predicted model, not a curated record
CUGUGCCUCCGCUGUCAGAGCUUUAUAAAGCUCUGGUUCUCGCGGGGGGUGGGGGUUCAGGGGCAGUCCUCCUAGGUGACAAAUGUUGCCAAAUGAUCAUCGUUGACUUUUUAAAUAUCUUGACUAAAACUGAAGGAGAAAAUGACAGACAACCUGGCGCUUACAGAUUUCUCACCUCCUGCAGCGCUGCACUGUUUGGACAAGAGCGGAGCUUCACACCAAACUGCUCAUCAGUGACAGCAGCAACAGGCUGCAAGGAGGAGGCUGUUUAUUCACUCUCUUUUGCCCAUUUAAGUUUUUUUUUCUCUUUUUUUGUUUGCUUUUAAACCUGGAUGUGAAACGAUUUAGACCUGCUCUCUAUAUUGUAUAUUGUCGCAGCUGACAAAAGUGGUUUUCAAAUCAAAAACACACAACACGUGCAACUCAAAAGUGCGCAGAUACUUUAAUUUCAAAUUUCUAUUUAUGUUCCUGUAAUAUUUUUAUUUUCAGAACAUGGAUUACAAGAUGCUCUUUAGUGAAAUACCGACCCCUCUGUCUCCUAAUGGCCCUCUCGAGAGAUAAACAAAGUUGUUAGGGGGUCAGCAGGAGCCACGUGAUGCCCGCUGAGAGCAAGAGGGUAACAAACUGGCGCAAAAGGCACAAAUGGACCUGAUAGUAUACUUAGUAAUAGGAACUGUAUCAUAGAGAUACCUCCUGAACAAAUACACACUCCUUAUGUCAAAUGAUCUGCUAAUCAAAAUGGCUCUCUGUGCCACCAUCUCUGAGUGGACACAAAGGAUUUGUUUUUAAAGUUUACAGACACUGCACUAUUGAAUUUUAUUAAAGGGAUAUCAUUGAAAAAUAAGGGACAAUAUGUUAUGAUAUGGCACAGGACAAGACUCAACCCCGAUGCAGACCAAGGUAGCAAUGAAACAACAGAUCUUUAACAGAAAUAAAUAAAUAUAUAUAUAUAUAUAUAUAUAUAUAUAUAUAUAUAUAUAUAAAAUCAACAUCAUGCUUGGGCUAAGAAACACAAGGAAUGGACACUAGACCACCAGGAAAUCUGCACCUUGGUCUGAUGAGUCCAAAUUAGAGAUUUUUGGUUCCACUGCCAUGUCUUUGUGAGUCACAAUGUUGGUGAUUUAUUCAAAAUUCAAGGCACACUUAACCAGCAUGGAUACCACAGCAUUCUGCAGCGACAUGCCAUCCCAUCGGUUCCCAUUGUUUUUCAACAGGACAACAACAAACACACCUCCAGGCUACAUAAGGGCUUUUUGACCAAGGAGGAGAGUGAUGGAGUGCUGCAACACAAAAAUCGAGGAAUGACAAUAACUUUAUGGAUAUUUGGCGACCUCUGAUAGCAGCGUGAUCUCACCAGAUGGCGUAUAAAUAGCACGCCACUUUUAAGGACAUUCUGUGUCUCAUGUCUAUGCAUUUUAAGCUUUUCACGUGUCAUUUAAUGCUGUUUAGCCCCCACAGGCCACAAUUGGUAAGAAGUCAUGUGUCAUACUGCUGCACUGCCUCCACAAGAAGCACCAAGCUUCUUUCUCUUUAAAUUACACUGUUGAAGUUGUGUAUUUUGAGAAAAUAUUAGGUAUUCCUAGCUAACUGUCACAUUUCAGACAGGUAUUUGUAAUUAAAUUUAAUUAAGAAUCA